Molecule: ribosomal RNA, 2961 nt
Filed under: Acetivibrio clariflavus
Lineage: Bacteria; Bacillati; Bacillota; Clostridia; Acetivibrionales; Acetivibrionaceae
Description: 23S ribosomal RNA
Rfam family: Bacterial large subunit ribosomal RNA
Source: RNAcentral
CAAGCUACUAAGAGCAUAGGGUGAAUGCCUAGGCACCAGAAGGCGAAGAAGGACGUGGUAAGCUGCGAAAAGCUGCGGUGAGGCGCAAACAGCCAUCGACCCGCAGAUGUCCGAAUGGGGGAACCCACCUGAGGUAAAUGCUCAGGUACUGCUACAUGAAUCCAUAGUGUAGCAGGGCGAGACGUGGGGAACUGAAACAUCUAAGUACCCACAGGAAAAGAAAUCAACCGAGAUUCCGUAAGUAGUGGCGAGCGAAAGCGGAAGAGCCCAAACCAAUCUAUAGCAAUAUAGGUUGGGGUUGCGGACUGGCGAAAUGAUUCUCUGAGCUUAGCAGAAGUAACCAGGAAAGGUUACACCAUAGAGGGUAAAAGUCCCGUAUGCGAAAAGUGAGGAGACAGGCCAGGAUCCAGAGUACCACGAGGCACGUGAAACCUUGUGGGAAGCAGGGGGGACCACCCUCCAAGGCUAAAUACUAACUGGUGACCGAUAGUGGAGAAGUACCGUGAGGGAAAGGUGAAAAGAACCCCGGGAGGGGAGUGAAAGAGAACCUGAAACCCUAUGUUUACAAGCAGUUGGAGAGCGUUAAGGCUCGACAGCGUACUUUUUGUAGAACGGUCCGGCGAGUUAUUGUAUGUGGCGAGGUUAAGUACUGAAGGUACGGAGCCGAAGGGAAACCGAGUCUGAAGAGGGCGUAAAGUCGCAUGCAAUAGACCCGAAACCGGGUGACCUAUCCAUGGACAGGUUGAAGCGAGAGUAAAGUCUCGUGGAGGACCGAACUCAUAACCGUUGAAAAGGUUUGGGAUGAGCUGUGGAUAGCGGAGAAAUUCCAAUCGAACUCGGAGAUAGCUGGUUCUCCCCGAAAUAGCUUUAGGGCUAGCCUCAAGUAUGUCUAACGGAGGUAAAGCACUGAAUGGGCUAGGGGCCUUACCGGGUUACCGAACCCUAUCAAACUCUGAAUGCCGUAUAGAUUUAGCUUGGGAGUCAGACUACGAGAGAUAAGUUCCGUAGUCGAGAGGGAAACAGCCCAGACCAUCAGCUAAGGUCCCAAAAUCACAGUUAAGUGGGAAAGGAUGUGGGUUUGCUAAGACAACUAGGAUGUUGGCUUAGAAGCAGCCAUUCAUUCAAAGAGUGCGUAAUAGCUCACUAGUCGAGUGAACCUGCGCCGAAAAUGUCCGGGGCUCAAACUGUGUACCGAAGCUGUGGCUUUGUGUGUGUUCACUGGUGUAUCUUAACAGAGGUAGAUUGUGUUAAGGGGCAGCAGUGAACACACACGAGGGGUAGGGGAGCUUACUAUGGUAGGUAGAAGCAUGACCGGAAGGACAUGUGGACGAGAUAGUAGUGAGAAUGCCGGAAUAAGUAGCGAGAGUGAAGUGAGAAUCUUUACCGUCGAAAAUCUAAGGUUUCCUGGGGAAGGUUCGUCCGCCCAGGGUAAGUCGGGACCUAAGCUGAGGCCGAAAGGCGUAGGCGAUGGGGAACAGGUUGAAAUUCCUGUACUACCGCUGCUCGUUUGAGAGAAGUGGGGACGCAGGGGGAUAGGUCAAGCGAGUGACUGGAAGAGCUCGUCCAAGCGGCAAGUAGAGUCCGGUAGGCAAAUCCGCCGGAUGAUUAUGAGCCGUGACGGGGAGGGAAAAUAUAGUACCGAAGUGACCGAUUUCGCACUGACGAGAAAAGCCACUAUCGAGAGUAGAGGUACCCGUACCGCAAACCGACACAGGUAGAUGAGGAGAGAAUCCUAAGACGAGCGGGAGAAGCGUUGUUAAGGAACUCGGCAAAUUGACCCCGUAAGUUCGCGAGAAGGGGUGCCUGUGAGAGCAGGCCGCAGAGAAUAGGCCCAAGCAACUGUUUAUCAAAAACACAGGUCUCUGCUAAAUCGAAAGAUGAAGUAUAGGGGCUGACGCCUGCCCGGUGCUGGAAGGUUACGGGGAUCUGUUAACGGAAGUGAAGCAGUGAACUUAAGCCCCAGUAAACGGCGGCCGUAACUAUAACGGUCCUAAGGUAGCGAAAUUCCUUGUCGGGUAAGUUCCGACCCGCACGAAUGGCGUAAUGAUUUGGGCACUGUCUCAACAACGUACCCGGCGAAAUUGUAGUACUUGUGAAGAUGCAAGUUACCCGCGACAAGACGGAAAGACCCCAUGGAGCUUUACUGUAGCCUGAUACUGGGUUUCGGUAUUCUUUGUACAGGAUAGGUGGGAGAUAGGGAAGUGUGGACGCCAGUCUGCAUGGAAUCGCCGUUGGGAUACCACUCUAAGGGUACUGGGACUCUAACCUGAGGCCAUGAGCUGGUCUAGGGACACUGUCAGGUGGGCAGUUUGACUGGGGCGGUCGCCUCCUAAAAGGUAACGGAGGCGUCCAAAGGUUACCUCAGCGCGGUUGGAAAUCGCGCAUCGAGUGCAAAGGCAUAAGGUAGCCUGACUGUGAGACAGACAAGUCGAGCAGGUACGAAAGUAGGGCUUAGUGAUCCGGCGGUAAGAGAGUGGAAUUGCCGUCGCUCAACGGAUAAAAGCUACCCUGGGGAUAACAGGCUGAUCUCCCCCAAGAGUCCACAUCGACGGGGAGGUUUGGCACCUCGAUGUCGGCUCAUCGCAUCCUGGAGCUGAAGUAGGUUCCAAGGGUUUGGCUGUUCGCCAAUUAAAGCGGUACGCGAGCUGGGUUCAGAACGUCGUGAGACAGUUCGGUCCCUAUCUGUCGCGGGCGCAGGAUAUUUGAAGGGAUCUGUCCUUAGUACGAGAGGACCGGGAUGGACGAACCUCUGGUGCACCAGUUGUACUACCAAGUGCACAGCUGGGUAGCCAAGUUCGGACGGGAUAAACGCUGAAAGCAUCUAAGCGUGAAACCCACCCUAAGAUGAGAUAUCCCACCGAAAGGGUAAGACCCCAUGUAGACUACAUGGUUGAUAGGCCAGGGGUGUAAGUACAGUAAUGUAUUUAGCUGACUGGUACUAAUAGGUCGAGGGCUUGACCA